Rattus norvegicus (Norway rat) is the source of this 104-nucleotide small nuclear RNA. Lineage: Eukaryota; Metazoa; Chordata; Mammalia; Rodentia; Muridae. The record is from Ensembl.
GUGCUUGCUUCAGUAGCUCAUCUGCCAAAAUCGGAAGGACGCAGAGAUUAGCAUGGCCUCUGUGUGAUGAUGGCAUACAAAUUCGGGAUGUGUUCCAUGUUUUU